Cebus imitator (Panamanian white-faced capuchin) is the source of this 91-nucleotide long non-coding RNA. RefSeq lists it as uncharacterized. The record is from RefSeq and is a predicted model, not a curated record. Lineage: Eukaryota; Metazoa; Chordata; Mammalia; Primates; Cebidae. The transcript is spliced from 3 exons.
GGGAGAAGUUCACUGAAUUAAAUUGAAAAUCUUCUAGAAAGAAUUUACCAUUCUGGAUGUCAUUAAGAACAAUCACGAUUCAUGGGAGGAG